GCAAGUCGAACGAUGAAGCUGGUGCUUGCACUGGUGGAUUAGUGGCGAACGGGUGAGUAUCACGUGAGUAACCUUCCCUUGACUCUGGGAUAAGCCCGGGAAACUGGGUCUAAUACCGGAUAUGACCGGCCUCCGCAUGGGGUGCUGGUGGAAAGCUUUUGCGGUUUUGGAUGGACUCGCGGCCUAUCAGUUUGUUGGUGAGGUAAUGGCUCACCAAGGCGAUGACGGGUAGCCGGCCUGAGAGGGUGACCGGCCACACUGGGACUGAGACACGGCCCAGACUCCUACGGGAGGCAGCAGUGGGGAAUAUUGCACAAUGGGCGCAAGCCUGAUGCAGCGACGCCGCGUGCGGGAUGACGGCCUUCGGGUUGUAAACCGCUUUCAGCAAGGAAGAAGCUUUUUGUGACGGUACUUGCAGAAGAAGCGCCGGCUAACUACGUGCCAGCAGCCGCGGUAAUACGUAGGGCGCGAGCGUUAUCCGGAAUUAUUGGGCGUAAAGAGCUCGUAGGCGGUUUGCCACGUCUGCUGUGAAAGCCCGGGGCUCAACCUCGGGUGUGCAGUGGGUACGGGUAGGCUGGAGUGCAGUAGGGGAGACUGGAAUUCCUGGUGUAGCGGUGAAAUGCGCAGAUAUCAGGAGGAACACCGAUGGCGAAGGCAGGUCUCUGGGCUGUUACUGACGCUGAGGAGCGAAAGCAUGGGGAGCGAACAGGAUUAGAUACCCUGGUAGUCCAUGCCGUAAACGUUGGGCACUAGGUGUGGGGGACAUUCCACGUUUUCCGCGCCGUAGCUAACGCAUUAAGUGCCCCGCCUGGGGAGUACGGCCGCAAGGCUAAAACUCAAAGGAAUUGACGGGGGCCCGCACAAGCGGCGGAGCAUGCGGAUUAAUUCGAUGCAACGCGAAGAACCUUACCAAGGCUUGACAUGGACCGGAUCGCUGCAGAGAUGCAGUUUCCCUUCGGGGCUGGUUCACAGGUGGUGCAUGGUUGUCGUCAGCUCGUGUCGUGAGAUGUUGGGUUAAG
RNAcentral lists this ribosomal RNA (1019 nucleotides) under Nesterenkonia sp. RNAcentral's name for it is "bacterial SSU rRNA". It matches the Rfam family "Bacterial small subunit ribosomal RNA", at positions 57 to 1084 of the family's 1533-position model. The record is from RNAcentral. Lineage: Bacteria; Bacillati; Actinomycetota; Actinomycetes; Micrococcales; Micrococcaceae.